RNAcentral lists this unclassified non-coding RNA (501 nucleotides) under Hevea brasiliensis (rubber tree). Lineage: Eukaryota; Viridiplantae; Streptophyta; Magnoliopsida; Malpighiales; Euphorbiaceae. The record is from RNAcentral.
CCUAAAGCUUUCCUCCUCCUUCAAGCGUUACUCUCACUCAUUGCCUCAUAGAUAUAGAUGGGUAUAAUUUUUUUGUGGCCAUGGCAAGAUCAUUUCUUGCAAGACCCAUUUCCAAAAUCCCAAUUUGGCUGCUAUUUAGCACUUUCCCACUAUCGUGCCUCUUCCCCAGAUGCAUACAAAAGCAUUUCAGCUUGUUUUUGCCUUGAUAAUCUCAUAUUGGUUAUGAAAUCAAGUCAUUGGUAAUUGUUAUUCAAUUCUCACCAGCAGAGUCACUACUUUCACUAUCCUUCCUCCUCACAACUGUAACAAAGAAGCUCAAGCUUCUCCCCUCCUUUUACGAAGUUGCAUUCUGCAGUUGCGCCUAUCACAAGAUCCACAUCAAAUAUCAUUACUGGCUUUCUUUACUGAUUGGACCUUCGAAGAUUCGAUCGGGUUUUUUUGCAUCCUCUAAGAUUGAUUAUAUCUCAUUUUGGGCUAAUUUUGAAGACUGGAUUCAUGCAG